UGCUGCAGCUGGUGUUGUGAAUCAGGCCGACGACAAGAGCAUCCUACUAUCCGGCUAUUUCACUACACCAGGGUUGCA
This 78-nucleotide microRNA precursor is filed under the name Colius striatus (speckled mousebird). RNAcentral also lists the same sequence under 1 other name. The record is from RNAcentral. Lineage: Eukaryota; Metazoa; Chordata; Aves; Coliiformes; Coliidae.